GACGAACGCUGGCGGCGUGCUUAACACAUGCAAGUCGAACGGAAAGGCCCUGCUUUUGUGGGGUGCCCGAGUGGCGAACGGGUGAGUAACACGUGAGUAACCUGCUCUUGACUUUGGGAUAACUUCAGGAAACUGGGGCUAAUACCGGAUAGGAGCUCCUGCUGCAUGGUGGGGGUUGGAAAGUUUCGGCGGUUGCGGAUGGACUCGCGGCUUAUCAGCUUGUUGGUGGGGUAGUGGCUUACCAAGGCUUUGACGGGUAGCCGGCCUGAGAGGGUGACCGGCCACAUGGGGACUGAGAUACGGACCAGACUCCUACGGGAGGCAGCAGUGGGGAAUAUUGCACAAUGGGCGGAAGCCUGAUGCAGCAACGCCGCGUGCGGGAUGACGGCCUUCGGGUUGUAAACCGCUUUCGCCUGUGACGAAGCGUGAGUGACGGUAAUGGGUAAAGAAGCACCGGCUAACUACGUG
Molecule: ribosomal RNA, 468 nt
Filed under: uncultured bacterium
Lineage: Bacteria
Description: partial 16S ribosomal RNA
Rfam family: Bacterial small subunit ribosomal RNA
Source: RNAcentral